GGGGAAUAUUGCACAAUGGGCGAAAGCCUGAUGCAGCAACGCCGCGUGAGUGAUGAAGGUCUUCGGAUUGUAAAGCUCUGUCUUUUGGGACGAUAAUGACGGUACCAUAGGAGGAAGCCACGGCUAACUACGUGCCAGCAGCCGCGGUAAUACGUAGGUGGCAAGCGUUGUCCGGAUUUACUGGGCGUAAAGGAUGUGUAGGCGGAUAUUUAAGUGAGAUGUGAAAUCCCCGGGCUUAACUUGGGGGCUGCAUUUCAAACUGGAUGUCUAGAGUGCAGGAGAGGAAAGCAGAAUUCCUAGUGUAGCGGUGAAAUGCGUAGAGAUUAGGAAGAAUACCAGUGGCGAAGGCGGCUUUCUGGACUGUAACUGACGCUGAGGCGCGAAAGCGUGGGGAGCAAAC
This 400-nucleotide ribosomal RNA is filed under the name uncultured bacterium. RNAcentral's name for it is "bacterial SSU rRNA". It matches the Rfam family "Bacterial small subunit ribosomal RNA", at positions 356 to 773 of the family's 1533-position model. The record is from RNAcentral.